UACAGAGGUCUCGAGCGUUAGGCGGAAUCACUGGGCUUAAAGCGUGUGUAGGCGGAUCCGUAAGUACUUUGUGAAAUCCCAUGGCUCACCCAUGGAACUGCUUGGCAUACUGGCGAUCUUGAGCUACUUAGGGGCAACCGGAACAAACGGUGGAGCGGUGAAAUGCGUAGAUAUCGUUUGGAACGCCAAUGGUGAAAACAGGUUGCUGGGAGUGCGCUGACGCUGAGACACGAAAGCCAGGGGAGCAAACGGG
RNAcentral lists this ribosomal RNA (253 nucleotides) under uncultured bacterium. RNAcentral describes it as "partial 16S ribosomal RNA". It matches the Rfam family "Bacterial small subunit ribosomal RNA", at positions 524 to 776 of the family's 1533-position model. The record is from RNAcentral.